This 127-nucleotide ribosomal RNA is filed under the name Herpotrichiellaceae sp. RNAcentral's name for it is "partial large subunit ribosomal RNA". It matches the Rfam family "Eukaryotic large subunit ribosomal RNA", at positions 99 to 224 of the family's 3401-position model. The record is from RNAcentral. Lineage: Eukaryota; Fungi; Ascomycota; Eurotiomycetes; Chaetothyriales; Herpotrichiellaceae.
CGGCAACAGCUCAAAUUUGAAAUCUGGCCUCUUUCGGGGUCCGAGUUGUAAUUUGUAGAGGAUGUUUUGGGUACCGCGCUGGUUUAAAUUUCUUGGAACAGAAUGUCAGAGAGGGUGAGAACCCCGU